Molecule: long non-coding RNA, 277 nt
Filed under: Actinidia chinensis (golden kiwifruit)
Lineage: Eukaryota; Viridiplantae; Streptophyta; Magnoliopsida; Ericales; Actinidiaceae
Description: long non-coding RNA (ACHI_LNC003955)
Source: RNAcentral
AGAAAUACAAGAUACCUCACAGUAAAAUCCUAGUAAAACUUGGAAUUGACGGUGGACAAACUCUGGUUGAUCUCGUCGGAAAUUUUCGAAAAAGAGGCUUUGCUCUAAGCAAAUGACCUGGAUUUAGGAGGGAGAGAGAGAGAGAGAAGGCGGUGGUUGCUCAGCUACAGACAAGUUGGCAGCGCAUUUUUUCCAGAGCAUUGCAGAGAGGAAUAGGGAAUAGAUACAGAAUGUGAUUUUGACAGCACCAUGUUUGUCGUACUGAAACAAUCCUCGG